Molecule: non-coding RNA, 1991 nt
Organism: Physcomitrium patens
Lineage: Eukaryota; Viridiplantae; Streptophyta; Bryopsida; Funariales; Funariaceae
Source: RefSeq, a predicted model, not a curated record
CAAGACAUCUUUUUGUUAAACUAAAAAUGCGAAUUCUCUUGGCUUCUGGUUCCAACUACGCUCUUGGAAUUCUGUUCUUCAGUUGCGCAGCUUCAAAUUUUAUCUCAAAACCUUACCCCGCUGAUGCUGUAAAAUUGCCAUACCCUACAUGAUCACAGAGACUUAUCGCUGAACUGCCACUUAGGCACACGAGUGGGCUAAAUUGCGGAAAUUCUUCCAUGUCGAAUCACGAUUCUAUCUCGACAAGCUGUACUGGACAUGUUGCUGAAAACGAGGUUGCCAGAAGUUGUACGCUGCUUACUCGAUAUUUGCUUUUCAUUGUGCUCGAUAUCAUAUAUGCAAGUGUGUACUCCGCACUCGUAAUAGGCAUGCUCAUGUGUUUUUCACGAAUCAGUGCCCAUGAUUUUAGAUACAACAGAUACAAUUUUUACAACAGACGAGAUUCAUUUCACGAGGUUUUCUUUUGCUUCGAUAGGAUGUUUUGUGUCAACAUCAUUACUGACCUCUGACCGCAUGUCUCCUCAGAUAUAUUAGAAAUAUCCCAAGGCAUGCGAGAGAGCUUCAUGCAGAUCAAUCAAUCUCUGACUCUCCCCUGUUCGUGUUUUGUUUAUCGACUACGUGCAUUCAGAAUUCAUAAUUUGUAGCGAAUGGCACUCUUCACGAAGCACUGGACUUUACAUGGAUUAGUUCUCUCUCAGUUAAGUUUAAUGUCUGCUUCGUUUUAUAUGCUGUCAUUCUUUCUUAGUGGUUGAAUCUGAAACCCUAAAUCCCCUAAGUCAACAGGUAUCGUGGUUGUAUCUUCGUCACCGAUCACCUAUGACCCAUAUUAAAGCAGUAUGGUCCCUUUAAAGUUGCAGAAACAGAUUCCCUACCAAGUAAAUUCUGGUUAGAGAAACUGAGAUUGGCAAAAUCGACUGGAGGUAAAAUACUCAUAUCAGUACGAGUCCCUUGCCUUGGACUCAUCCUGAUCACACCAGCUCUCUUUUGAGUUUGUAACAUAAUGACUUCACUUAAAAGUGAUAUUCUGGUGUCCUUGCAAUCGGUGAGCGGUAUGUCCACUGGUUUUGCUUCUCCUCACAAUUGCGUGAUGAUGAACUGAUGAUGGAGAUCUAUCCGUGCUUUUCCUGAGCUGCUACUGCCACUGCCUUAUGUCCUAUUUGUUUUAUGUGUGGACUGGGAGAAUCGUUUGAGCCCCGACUGAGAGUCUUAUAUAUUGCUUGUUUAUUGAAACGAAACUGAAAAGGAUAUUUCUUGGGACAGCCCUUGAGAAGUCUGUCAAGCUACUGCUCUCUUUGGUCUGAGAGUGACCAUAAUUGCUGCACACGUGCCGGAGAACAGCGACCCACUGCUCAAGUAGCUAAGUUUCGGGAUCUUGGGUGAUCAUGAGAGAUUGGCAGCCAUCUCUUCACCAAAUGCCAGAACUCUUUUUGUUGUGAUGCAUGAGCACUUGAACACCAUGAGCUUUCCCACUAACAGCAGCUUGAUGUUUUGGCUGUGGUGUCUGGCAUGUGCACAGGAAACCUCUACAAUCCUCUCUUCACCAUAGACUCAGGAAACACGAAACCAUCAGUGAGUCCCAUAACAAGGUUCAGUGACACUCGUUCUGCGUUUGGCUAUGUAGUGAUUUCGCAACAUAGGUGUUAAUGCCCCGUCUCACUUUUGCAACUUAUGCGACAUGGUUGGUGAAAUGGAGAUAGAUGGGGAAAAAGUGGGAGCCAUUUCUACUUGAGACUCGACACCAGCGUUCAACCGGCACACAUGUGUUGCCUCCUCUCACAUUAAAUUUUAGACUGGUCUGAUACUGAUAGCUCAAGCUCAAACCAAACUUGAAGUCUGGUUAGAUAUACUCCGUAACCGUUUCUUAAGCUGAUGACUUUUUACCCACCCUCUGAUUUAGAGCAAGUUGUCAUCGAUUGGUACCACAUACUUUGACUGGAUGUCAUAUUCUGGAUUUUUAUUUUUAUUUUUUCUUCUUCUUUUACUGUAAUUAA